CACGCCGUAAACGAUGGGUACUAGGUGUGGGUAGUUCACUCUAUCCGUGCCGCAGCAAACGCAUUAAGUACCCCGCCUGGGGAGUACGGCCGCAAGGUUAAAACUCAAAGGAAUUGACGGGGGCCCGCACAAGCAGCGGAGCAUGUGGUUUAAUUCGAAGCAACGCGAAGAACCUUACCAGGGCUUGACAUCCACAGUAGGCAUUAGAGAUAGUGCUGUGCCUCGUAAGAGGAACUGUGAGACAGGUGG
Molecule: ribosomal RNA, 249 nt
Filed under: uncultured Eubacteriales bacterium
Lineage: Bacteria; Bacillati; Bacillota; Clostridia; Eubacteriales
Description: uncultured Clostridiales bacterium partial 16S ribosomal RNA
Rfam family: Bacterial small subunit ribosomal RNA
Source: RNAcentral